UACGAAGGGGGCAAGCGUUGUUCGGAAUUACUGGGCGUAAAGGGCGCGCAGGCGCCGAUCAAGUCAGAUGUGAAAGCCCCGGGCUCAACCCUGGGAAUAGCAUUUGGGACUGGUCGGCUAGAGUUCGGGAGAGGAGAGUGGAAUUCCCAGUGUAGAGGUGAAAUUCGUAGAUAUUGGGAAGAACACCGGUGGCGAAGGCGGCUCUCUGGACCGAUACUGACGCUGAGGCGGCGAAAGCGUGGGGAGCAAACAGG
This 254-nucleotide ribosomal RNA is filed under the name uncultured bacterium. RNAcentral's name for it is "partial 16S ribosomal RNA". It matches the Rfam family "Bacterial small subunit ribosomal RNA", at positions 524 to 776 of the family's 1533-position model. The record is from RNAcentral.